CGUAAUAUACUCUAUCAUGGCCCGAGGUAUGAAGAAACAGGUCAUUGAUGAGUUUGUCACCCAAAACAAGUAUCUGUUGGCAGCCAGGCUCACCAGCCAGAAGUUGUUCCAUGAACUCUGCCCCGUGAAACGUUCUCACCGACAGAGGAAGUACUGUGUGGUUUUACUGACCGCUGAGGCUACCAAGUUGAGUAAACCCUUCGAGGCUUUCCUGUCCUUUGCUCUGGCAAACACACAGGACACAGUGAGGUUCGUGCGCGUCUACAGCAAUCGGCAGCAGGAGUUUGCCAACACCUUACUGCCAGACAGCGACACGUUUCAAGGAAAAUCAGCGGUGUCUAUCUUAGAAAGGCGCAACACAGCAGGGAGGGUGGUGUAUAAAACCCUGGAGGAUCCCUGGACCGGGAGUGAGAGCGAUAAAUUCAUCCUUUUGGGUUAUCUUGACCAACUGCGGAAAGACCCAGCUCUUCUGUCCUCGGAAGCUGUGCUCCCCGACUUGACCGAUGAACUUGCCCCUAUUUUUCUCCUUCGGUGGCUCUAUUCUGCUUCUGACUACAUCUCAGACACUUGGGACAGCAUAUUUCACAGCAACUGGCGGGAAAUGAUGCCCCUUCUGUCCCUGGUCUUCUCUGCCCUCUUCAUCCUCUUCGGCACUGUCAUCAUUCAGGCUUUCAGCGACUCAAAUGAGGAGCGAGAGUCAAGCCCUCCAGACAAAGAGGAAGCCCGCGAGAAGAGCGGGAAGGCAGAGCCGAGCUUCACCAAGGGGCCCAGCAGCAAGAUUCCUAAAAAAGGCUUUGUGGAGGUGACCGAACUCACAGAUGUAACGUACACCAGUAACUUGGUCCGCCUGAGGCCAGGCCACAUGAACGUGGUCCUUAUCCUGUCAAAUUCCACCAAGACCAGCCUGCUGCAGAAAUUCGCUUUGGAGGUCUACACGUUCACUGGGAGCAGCUGCCUGCACUUUUCCUUCCUGAGUCUAGAUAAACACAGAGAAUGGCUGGAAUACUUACUAGAAUUUGCUCAAGAUGCGGCCCCGAUCCCAAACCAAUACGACAAGCAUUUCAUGGAACGUGACUACACGGGCUAUGUACUGGCUCUGAAUGGCCACAAGAAAUACUUCUGCCUCUUCAAGCCCCAAAAAACAGUCGAAGAGGAGGAAGCCCUGGGGUCGUGUAGUGACCUUGACUCUUCCCUCCAUCUGGGUGAAUCUCGAGGGAAAUCUUCUUCUGGCCUUGGAUCCAGGCCCAUCAAAGGAAAAUUGAGCAAGUUGUCCUUAUGGAUGGAACGGCUGCUGGAAGGCUCCUUACAGAGGUUUUAUAUCCCGUCAUGGCCUGAACUAGACUGAGAAUUUCAAAAAGAGGCUCGAACUCUUCAGGCUUUUUAACAGGCCCCUGUGAACAGGUAUUUUCAGGACUCAAACCAUCACAGUGGACAGAGUAUAGUUUAGAUUAUUCUUCCAGAACAGUGGCUAGAAGGAUCUUUCCUUUGUCCUGUUCUAACCUAGGAGUGAAAAACACCACACACUGAAUUCCCCAGAUCAGAAUACUUUCCUUUGGGUCUGUUUUCCUCAUUUGAAUGCCACACUGUUUAAAACAGACUGCUCGUUCCCUCUUCCUUUGUUGCCCCGCCCCGUGCUCGCCCCCCCCCGCCUCCCCUGUCCUGUCUCUGUGCUGUGGGAGAAGCACAGGGCUGGACCCUGCAUCAGAGCCUGGGGGGACCUCGCGAGCCUGGUGUGCUGGUCGGGCCACCUGUCCCCCGCCCAGCCUCGGCCGUGCUUCUGCCGCGGUGCAUGCUGUAACGGUGGGACAACCCACCGCAGCUUCUGGGCCCUGUGUCUCAAAAAAGGCCUAGUUCCAAGCGAUCUUACAUUAAUGGUUUUUUUGGUAGUAAAUGGCUAAAAGUAUAGUUGGGGGGUAUCCUCCUACAACAGCUUGUCAGCCACGGUUUUAAAAGGUUAGGAACGAGUGGGGUUUCUGCACAUAUGUUUGAUUUUCUUCCCGAGACAAGAGAAGGGAGGGCUGGGCAGCGCCUGAGCGAUGCCUUCGUGAGCAUCCCAUGAGCCCCCUCCCGAACACUGAAGGUAGCCGGCGAGGGAUCCGCAUGGCAAGAAGUACUGUAAUGACCUUGAGCCAUUUACCUGUAUGUUUUCAGAUGCCUUUCUGCCUCUGUCAGUUUUAGGGUAUGGAUAUUAGGAGCCAUAACUUGUAAUCUUGCUCUCUGAACGUAGAGAUAAGCUGCUAUAAGCCAGUAGAUGUUAAACUGAAGACACAUUAUUCCUGCCGUGAGUCAGGCUCAAGGAACCUCUUCCCUACAGUGAUGUCUCUUUAGUAAAAUAUCAGACAUAUCUUUGUAUCAAGGAACUUAAAAUUUCUCAGCAAUUGUAUUUUGAAUACUGUUACCCCAAAAGUGCUGUAUCUUCAAGUCCUCUUUGGUGACAAGCGAGCCAAGACACGUUCUAGACUCCUGUUUUGCUCACUUUGAGCUUCUGGCCUAUAUUCUGAUGUAUCAUCUAAUUGUUUUCACUCUUAAGUUACAACUCCUUCACCAGUAACAGGGUCAGACCUGUCAUCAGCACCCCAGCUCGCUGAGCUCCAGUGAACGAUGGACCCCAGGUGGGGCCCUACCAGCCAGUUAGAGAGCUUACCUUUUCUUUUUAGAGCACACCACCAGUGGGGUUUGGACAACCUCAAAGAGUUCAGAUGUCAAAACAGAUUGCCUUUUUGUAAAGUGAAGGGUCAAAAUCAGUGAUGGGACAAAAUAGGUUAAUAUUUGCUUUAAUCGUAAUUGCUUUAAACUAAGCCAUUUGGAUUGAGCUACAGUGGCAAGUAACAAAUUAUUUGAGCCCAGAAAUUCCUAGUUUUCAUGGAAUCUAUAGCUUUAUUUAAAAAAGUAAAUUACUGCCAGGCUUUAUUUUUCCACAUGAUCCUCUAAAAGUGGAUGUUUAUUCUGAUUGCCGUAUCUCAUGGCACCUGGCCUAGGUAGAACUGAUCAAGGAAUUCAUUUUUGGCUCUGUGAUGCACCAAGUCCUCAAAUUUAUUUCCUGCAUCUCUUAUGGCCACGUUGCUUCUAUGAGUAGUGUUUUGGUUCAGUGGUAGGUUUUUAUUUUUUUAAUUUCUGGUACUAAUGGGAUUCCUGACCUUAAUUUCUGAAAACCAAAAACACCCCAGAUUCGUUCACUUUAAAAAAUUAUAUCAUUAAAAUAAAAAGCACCUUCAGACAGCUGCACCUUUGAUUUGUGUAAAGAAAGGAAGUGAUAAUAGUGAAAACGUUCCUAGGAAAUAUUUCAAUCCAAAAAAAUCAUCUACAGAUCCAUUUGGGGGCUGGUAGCUAUGUCCCCGAAGAAGAAACUGGGAAGCUUUUAAACUGACCUUUACCCUUGACCACCCAAGCCUUUCCUCCUGAAUGUCAUUUCCAUGAAUUUGUUUACUUUUGUGUCAAAUGUAUGAGCCACUGGCCUGGUCAGCCAAUGCUACCAUUUCUCUUACUCACAUAUGUAAUCACACAGACCCAAUUUUGGCUUUAAGUUAACUUCCUAGUCUUCGAGUAUCUUGAAACUGACAAUGUUGGUGUUUUCAGAGGUAGGUCUUUCUGAUUGAUACAGACUAUGCAUCAUGUUUAGCAGAUGGGGACAACUGGCCUAAAACAAGCCUUUGUAGAUAUAUGCACCCAUUUUUUAAAAUUUUUUUUAUUAGCCCAGGUGUCGGUGGCACAAUCUGUCUAACACAGAGUUCAUCACCUCCAACUAGGGAACAUUUCAGCGAGCAAGCCUUCCCUAACUCCCAUUAGACACCACAGUCUUGCCGCCAUCGCUUAUUGACCAUGAAAACUUGGUUGUGGUUUCAAAUACUAGGUUGAUUCCCUCCUUAUUCAGUACAUAAAUGUUUUCCUGCUAUAAAAAGAAGCGGGAUCUGAAUGUGUUUUAAGUGAUUUGCAUUGUUUGGGGAAAGGGAUUAGGAGCAAACACUCCAACAUUUUUUUCUAAGUAAAAUUCCUGAAAAGCUGAUGGAAAACAUUCUUUCCAGCUGAAACGUUGGCCAUGUCCAAAUACCUGACAUUGUCCCUUGAAACAAACGCAGCGUGUCUGCGGCCGAAUCUGUUCAGUUUGUCAAGGAGGAUGAUUAUACUUUCGAGACAGACCUGAAAAGAAGAGUCCUGCCUUGCGCGCUCCUCUGCGGUUCCCCACCACCCCGUGGACAUGCUUUCCCCGGUGUUCUCUCCAUCAAGCGUCAUUCAGAAGUGGUAUUUUAAAAUUCAGAAGGCUCUCUGUUUACUCUGAGAACAGAUUUCCCCCAAAGGAAAACCUAUCAUAUUGAAGGAUCGUACGGCGGUGAAACCUCCACGAGAUCACAACCCACCACGUUCAGGCCUUGACACCCCCGGAUGAUCUCCAGAGCCUGUCCA
This is an RNA transcript of Physeter macrocephalus (sperm whale), 4401 nucleotides long. It is a transcript of the gene named DnaJ heat shock protein family (Hsp40) member C16, with no coding region annotated. The transcript has 11 exons. NCBI's taxonomy places the organism in Eukaryota, Metazoa, Chordata, Mammalia, Artiodactyla, Physeteridae. The record is from RefSeq and is a predicted model, not a curated record.